Molecule: ribosomal RNA, 692 nt
Filed under: Pseudomonas sp. N-R2A-1
Lineage: Bacteria; Pseudomonadati; Pseudomonadota; Gammaproteobacteria; Pseudomonadales; Pseudomonadaceae
Description: bacterial SSU rRNA
Rfam family: Bacterial small subunit ribosomal RNA
Source: RNAcentral
GGGAGCUUGCUCCCUGAUUCAGCGGCGGACGGGUGAGUAAUGCCUAGGAAUCUGCCUAUUAGUGGGGGACAACGUUUCGAAAGGAACGCUAAUACCGCAUACGUCCUACGGGAGAAAGCAGGGGACCUUCGGGCCUUGCGCUAAUAGAUGAGCCUAGGUCGGAUUAGCUAGUUGGUGGGGUAAUGGCUCACCAAGGCGACGAUCCGUAACUGGUCUGAGAGGAUGAUCAGUCACACUGGAACUGAGACACGGUCCAGACUCCUACGGGAGGCAGCAGUGGGGAAUAUUGGACAAUGGGCGAAAGCCUGAUCCAGCCAUGCCGCGUGUGUGAAGAAGGUCUUCGGAUUGUAAAGCACUUUAAGUUGGGAGGAAGGGCAGUAAAUUAAUACUUUGCUGUUUUGACGUUACCGACAGAAUAAGCACCGGCUAACUCUGUGCCAGCAGCCGCGGUAAUACAGAGGGUGCAAGCGUUAAUCGGAAUUACUGGGCGUAAAGCGCGCGUAGGUGGUUUGUUAAGUUGGAUGUGAAAGCCCCGGGCUCAACCUGGGAACUGCAUCCAAAACUGGCAAGCUAGAGUACGGUAGAGGGUGGUGGAAUUUCCUGUGUAGCGGUGAAAUGCGUAGAUAUAGGAAGGAACACCAGUGGCGAAAGCGACCACCUGGACUGAUACUGACACUGAGGUGCGAAAGCGU